UGGGGAAUUUUGGACAAUGGGCGCAAGCCUGAUCCAGCCAUGCCGCGUGUCUGAAGAAGGCCUUCGGGUUGUAAAGGACUUUUGUCAGGGAAGAAAAGGCUGUUGCUAAUACCGACAGCUGAUGACGGUACCUGAAGAAUAAGCACCGGCUAACUACGUGCCAGCAGCCGCGGUAAUACGUAGGGUGCGAGCGUUAAUCGGAAUUACUGGGCGUAAAGCGAGCGCAGACGGUUACUUAAGCAGGAUGUGAAAUCCCCGGGCUCAACCUGGGAACUGCGUUCUGAACUGGGUGACUAGAGUGUGUCAGAGGGAGGUAGAAUUCCACGUGUAGCAGUGAAAUGCGUAGAGAUGUGGAGGAAUACCGAUGGCGAAGGCAGCCUCCUGGGAUAGCACUGACGUUCAUGCUCGAAAGCGUGGGUAGCAAACAGGAUUAGAUACCCUGGUAGUCCACGCCCUAAACGAUGUCAAUUAGCUGUUGGGCAACUUGAUUGCUUAGUAGCGUAGCUAACGCGUGAAAUUGACCGCCUGGGGAGUACGGUCGCAAGAUUA
This 549-nucleotide ribosomal RNA is filed under the name uncultured bacterium. Its description in RNAcentral is "bacterial SSU rRNA". It matches the Rfam family "Bacterial small subunit ribosomal RNA", at positions 355 to 896 of the family's 1533-position model. The record is from RNAcentral.